RNAcentral lists this unclassified non-coding RNA (963 nucleotides) under uncultured fungus. RNAcentral describes it as "sequence contains 18S rRNA gene, ITS1, 5.8S rRNA gene, ITS2, 28S rRNA gene". Lineage: Eukaryota; Fungi. The record is from RNAcentral.
CGCGUCCCUCCAUCGACACCGGGAUGGGCCUGGAGCGCAUGACCGCGGUGCUGCAAGGCACCCAUGACAAUUACAACAUCGAUCUCUUCCGCCGCCUCAUCGCCGCGUCCGCCGAUCACUCCGGCACGUCGGUGGCCGGCCCGCACCGCUGUCAGCCAUCGCGUCAAUCGCCGAUCAUUUGCGCUCCUCGGCCUUUCUCAUUGCCGAUGGUGUGCUGCCGUCCAACGAAGGUCGCGGCUACGUGCUUCGCCGCAUCAUGCGCCGCGGCAUGCGUCACGCCCAUAUUCUGGGAUCGAAAGAUCCUUUGAUGUAUCGCCUCGUCGCCACGCUCGUCGCCGAGAUGGGCGAGGCCUUUCCGGAACUCGGCCGCGCCGAACCAUUGGUGCGCGAAACGCUGCGCAUCGAGGAAACGCGUUUCCGCGAAACAUUGGCGCGCGGGCUGAAGCUUCUGGAUGAAACCACCGGCAAUCUGAAAUCCGGCGACGUGCUCGCCGGCGAAGUCGCGUUCAAACUCUACGACACCUACGGGCUUUCCGCUCGAUCUCACCGAAGAUGCCUUGCGCGCGCGCGGCAUUGCGGUCGACCAAGCCGGAUUUACCGCCGCCAUGGCGCGGCAAAAAAGCCGAAGCGCGCAAAGCCUGGUCGGGCUCGGGCGAAGCGGCCACGGACAAAACCUGGUUUGAGCUCCGCGAAGAAUUGGGCGCCACGGAAUUCCUCGGCUAUGACGCGGAAAGCGCCGAAGGCGUGGUAACCGCCAUCAUUCAUGACGGCGCGCGCGUUACCUCGGCGGAAGCCGGCGAAACCGUGCGCCUCAUCACCAAUCAAACGCCGUUUUACGGCGAGAGCGGCGGGCAGAUUGGCGAUCGCGGCGCCAUGUUUUCGUCCAAGGGCGCCGAGGGCGAAGUCGUCGAAACCGAGAAGAAGCUCGGCGAUCUUGUCAUUCAUGUGGUGAAAAUCACGCGC